Molecule: unclassified non-coding RNA, 253 nt
Filed under: Patescibacteria group bacterium
Lineage: Bacteria
Description: contains 16S-23S intergenic spacer region
Rfam family: Bacterial small subunit ribosomal RNA
Source: RNAcentral
UACAGAGACCUCAAACGUUAUCCGGAUUCAUUGGGCGUAAAGGGUCCGCAGGUGGUUUGAAAAGUUCAUGGUUAAAUUCUGGGGCUUAACUUCAGAACUGCUAUGGAUACUCUCAAACUUGAGACUGGGAGAGGCAUACGGAACUAUCGGUGUAGUCGUAAUAAGCGCUGAUAUCGAUAGGAACACCAAAGGCGAAGGCAGUAUGCUGGAACAGUUCUGACACUCAGGGACGAAAGCGUGGGUAGCGAAUGGG